RNAcentral lists this small RNA (125 nucleotides) under Marmota monax (woodchuck). Lineage: Eukaryota; Metazoa; Chordata; Mammalia; Rodentia; Sciuridae. The record is from RNAcentral.
GCCAGGCACAGUGGCGCAUGCCUGUAAUCCCGGUGCCCUGGGAGGCUGGGGCAGGAGGAUGGGAAUUUGAAGCAGCUUCAGACAUUUAGCAAGGCCCUAAGCAACUCGGCGAGACCCUGUCUCUA